UAUUAUAUUUAAUGUUAAUAUAUUGCCUGGGUAGUAUUAGAUGAGGUCUUGAAACUUAAAGAAUUUGGCGGUGUUUUAGUCCUUUCAGAGGAAUCUGUUCUGUAAUUGAUAAUACACGAUUUGUUUUACUUGAUUUUGUUAUCAGUUUGUAUAUCGCCGUCAUAAGAUUAUUUUUGUUGAGAAUUUAAUUUUCUUGGUCUUUUAUUAGAUAAUAUGUCAGGUCAAGGUGCAAUUUAUGAUUAAGAAGAAAUGGAUUACAAUAAUUUUAAUUAUUAUGGAUAAUUAUUUUAGGUUGAUUUGAAAGUGGAUUUGAUUGUAAUUUUAUUUUUAAUUAUUAUGUUGAUUGGGGCUCUAUAAUGUGUACAUAUCGCCCGUCGCUCUCGUUAUUAAAAUGAG
Molecule: ribosomal RNA, 396 nt
Filed under: Ligypterus sp. NV-2017
Lineage: Eukaryota; Metazoa; Arthropoda; Insecta; Orthoptera; Gryllidae
Description: partial 12S ribosomal RNA
Source: RNAcentral